This 40-nucleotide transfer RNA is filed under the name Microlobius foetidus. RNAcentral's name for it is "partial tRNA-His". Lineage: Eukaryota; Viridiplantae; Streptophyta; Magnoliopsida; Fabales; Fabaceae. The record is from RNAcentral.
GGCGGAUGUACCAAGUGGAUCAAGGCAGUGGAUUUGUGAA